GCCUACGGGGCGCAGCAGUGAGGAAUAUUGGUCAAUGGGCUUACGCCUGAACCAGCCAAGUCGCGUGAGGGAAGACUGCCCUAUGGGUUGUAAACCUCUUUUGUCAGGGAGCAACGCCGGCUACGUGUAGCCGGACUGAGAGUACCUGAAGAAAAAGCACCGGCUAACUACGUGCCAGCAGCCGCGGUAAUACGUAGGGUGCGAGCGUUAAUCGGAAUUACUGGGCGUAAAGGGUGCGCAGGCGGUUGAGUAAGACAGAUGUGAAAUCCCCGAGCUUAACUCGGGAAUGGCAUAUAUGACUGCUC
This 305-nucleotide ribosomal RNA is filed under the name uncultured bacterium. RNAcentral's name for it is "bacterial SSU rRNA". It matches the Rfam family "Bacterial small subunit ribosomal RNA", at positions 337 to 638 of the family's 1533-position model. The record is from RNAcentral.